CUACGUGCCAGCAGCCGCGGUAAUACGGAAGGUCCAGGCGUUAUCCGGAUUUAUUGGGUUUAAAGGGUGCGUAGGCGGCCUGUUAAGUCAGCGGUGAAAUCUAGGAGCUUAACUCCUAAAUUGCCAUUGAUACUGGCGGGCUUGAGUGUAGAUGAGGUAGGCGGAAUGCGUGGUGUAGCGGUGGAAUGCAUAGAUAUCACGCAGAACUCCGAUUGCGAAGGCAGCUUACUAAGGUACAACUGACGCUGAAGCACGAAAGCGUGGGUAUCAAACAGGAUUAGAUACCCUGGUAGUCCACGCAGUAAACGAUGAUAACUGGGCGUAUGCGAUAUACAGUAUGCUCCUAAGCGAAAGCGUUAAGUUAUCCACCUGGGGAGUACGCCGGCAACGGUGAAACUCAAAGGAAUUGACGGGGGCCCGCACAAGCGGAGGAACAUGUGGUUUAAUUCGAUGAUACGCGAGGAACCUUACCCGGGAUUGAA
This 482-nucleotide ribosomal RNA is filed under the name uncultured bacterium. RNAcentral describes it as "bacterial SSU rRNA". It matches the Rfam family "Bacterial small subunit ribosomal RNA", at positions 501 to 985 of the family's 1533-position model. The record is from RNAcentral.